UACAGAGGGGGCGAGCGUUGUUCGGAAUUACUGGGCGUAAAGGGCGCGUAGGCGGCCUCUUAAGUCGAACGUGAAAUCCCCGGGCUCAACCCGAGAACUGCGUCCGAUACUGGGGGGCUUGAAUCCGGGAGAGGGAUGUGGAAUUCCAGGUGUAGCGGUGAAAUGCGUAGAUAUCUGGAGGAACACCGGUGGCGAAGGCGGCAUCCUGGACCGGUAUUGACGCUGAGGCGCGAAAGCCAGGGGAGCAAACGGG
Molecule: ribosomal RNA, 253 nt
Filed under: uncultured bacterium
Lineage: Bacteria
Description: partial 16S ribosomal RNA
Rfam family: Bacterial small subunit ribosomal RNA
Source: RNAcentral